AUUGAACGCUGGCGGCAGGCCUAACACAUGCAAGUCGAGCGGAGCGGCGGACGGGUGAGUAAUGCCUAGGAAUCUGCCUGGUAGUGGGGGAUAACGUCCGGAAACGGGCGCUAAUACCGCAUACUAUCAGAUGAGCCUAGGGCGGAUUAGCUAGUUGGUGGGGUAAAGGCCUACCAAGGCGACGAUCCGUAACUGGUCGGAGUGGAUGGUCAGUCACACUGGAACUGGGACAAGGUCCAGAAUCCUACUGGGAGAAGCAGUUGGGAAUAUUGGAGAAUGGGCGAAAGCCUGAUCCAGCCAUGCCGGGGGUGUGAAGAAGGGCUUUGGAUUGGAAAGCCCUUUAAGUUGGGAGGCGUUACCAACAGAAUAAGCACCGGCUAACUUCGUGCCAGCAGCCGCGGUAAUAC
Molecule: ribosomal RNA, 407 nt
Filed under: uncultured bacterium
Lineage: Bacteria
Description: partial 16S ribosomal RNA
Rfam family: Bacterial small subunit ribosomal RNA
Source: RNAcentral